GUGAGGAAUCUUCCACAAUGGGCGAAAGCCUGAUGGAGCAACGCCGCGUGCAGGAUGAAGGCCUUCGGGUCGUAAACUGCUUUUAUAAGUGAAGAAUAUGACGGUAACUUAUGAAUAAGCACCGGCUAACUACGUGCCAGCAGCCGCGGUCAUACGUAGGGUGCAAGCAUUAUCCGGAGUGACUGGGCGUAAAGAGUUGCGUAGGUGGUUUAUUAAGCGAGUAGUGAAAUCUGACGGCUCAACCGUACAGGCUAUUAUUCGAACUGGUAAACUCGAGAAUGGUAGAGGUAACUGGAAUUUCUUGUGUAGGAGUGAAAUCCGUAGAUAUAAGAAGGAACACCAAUGGCGUAGGCAGGUUACUGGACCAUUUCUGACACUGAGGCACGAAAGCGUGGGGAGCGAACGGGAUUAGAAACCCUAGUAGUCC
RNAcentral lists this ribosomal RNA (427 nucleotides) under uncultured bacterium. Its description in RNAcentral is "bacterial SSU rRNA". It matches the Rfam family "Bacterial small subunit ribosomal RNA", at positions 354 to 796 of the family's 1533-position model. The record is from RNAcentral.